RNAcentral lists this ribosomal RNA (456 nucleotides) under Hepatocystis sp. Its description in RNAcentral is "SSU rRNA". It matches the Rfam family "Eukaryotic small subunit ribosomal RNA", at positions 197 to 645 of the family's 1831-position model. Lineage: Eukaryota; Apicomplexa; Aconoidasida; Haemosporida; Plasmodiidae. The record is from RNAcentral.
AAUACAGUACUUGUUAUGCCUUAUUAAAAAAAAGUUUUAUAACAUAAGGAAUUAUAACAAAGAAGCAACACAUAAAAUAUGACAUUCAUAUUUUUUAGUGUGUAUCAAUCGAGUUUCUGACCUAUCAGCUUUUGAUGUUAGGAUAUGGGCCUACCAUGGUGACCACGGGUGACGGGGAAUCAGGGUUCGAUUCCGGAGAGGGAGCCUGAGAAACGGCUACCACAUCCAAGGAAGGCAGCAGGCGCGCAAAUUACCCAAUUCUAAAGAAGAGAGGUAGUGACAAGAAAUAAUAGGACAAGACUAAUUUUUUAGUUUUGUAUCUGUGCUGAUAGAAUUUUAAAACUAUUCUAAAAUUCCAUUGGAGGGCAAGUCUGGUGCCAGCAGCCGCGGUAAUUCCAGCUCCAAUAGCGUAUAUUAAAGUUGCUGCAGUUAAAAAGCUCGUAGUUGGAUCUCAAA